RNAcentral lists this ribosomal RNA (497 nucleotides) under uncultured bacterium. RNAcentral describes it as "partial 16S ribosomal RNA". It matches the Rfam family "Bacterial small subunit ribosomal RNA", at positions 28 to 507 of the family's 1533-position model. The record is from RNAcentral.
GAUGAACGCUGGCGGCGUGCCUAAUACAUGCAAGUCGAGCGAACAGAUGAGGAGCUUGCUCGUCUGACGUUAGCGGCGGACGGGUGAGGAACACGUGGAUAACCUACCUAUAAGACUGGGAUAACAUUGGGAAACCGGAGCUAAUACCGGAUAAUAUAUUGAACCGCAUGGUUCAAUAGUGAAAGACGGUUUUGCGGUCACUUAUAGAUGGAUACGCGUCGCAUUAGUUAGUUGGUACGGUAACGGCUUACCAAGGCAAGGACGCGAAGCCGACCCGAAAGGGUGAUCGCCCACCUGGGCAGAGAGACUCGGCACAGACUCCUGCAGUAGGACGCGGUACGGAAUCUUCCGCAAGGCGCGAAAGGCUAACGGAGCACCACCGCCUGAGUGAUGAAGGUCCUCUGCUCGUAGAGCGCUGUAAUUAUUAGGGUACUAAAGUGUAAUUAACUGUGCUGAUAUUGACGGUACCGGGUCAAAAAGCCCCGGCUAACUCCGUG